CUUUCUACACUCGUUGCCUUCAAGACCUACCCCGUGUCACUAUCAACGAUGUACACCGUCUUAUUAAGGCCUACUCAACCACGGCAUUAAGCAAAAAAGAAAAAGGAUUUAAGCUGUACAUAACCAGCUAUAUUCAUGACUAUGAAGUUUCUGACAAGAACGAGUCAGGAGAGGUGUCUGUGAGGGCAAGCUGCUUCAGGUCAAUGAGGAAAAGCGAGAGACCACACAAUUUAAGUAUUGUUCUCAAAGACUCUAAGCCUGUUGAACUGCUGG
Long non-coding RNA from Sander lucioperca (pikeperch), 273 nucleotides. RefSeq lists it as uncharacterized. The record is from RefSeq and is a predicted model, not a curated record. The transcript has 3 exons. Lineage: Eukaryota; Metazoa; Chordata; Actinopteri; Perciformes; Percidae.